This 253-nucleotide ribosomal RNA is filed under the name uncultured bacterium. Its description in RNAcentral is "partial 16S ribosomal RNA". It matches the Rfam family "Bacterial small subunit ribosomal RNA", at positions 524 to 776 of the family's 1533-position model. The record is from RNAcentral.
UACGGGAGGUGCAAGCGUUGUUCGGAUUGACUGGGCGUAAAGCGCACGUAGGCGGGUUCGUAAGUCGGAUGUGAAAGCCCAGAGCUUAACUCUGGAACUGCAUUCGAAACUACGAAUCUUGAAUGUCUGAGAGGUUGGUAGAAUUCCAGGUGUAGGAGUGAAAUCCGUAGAUAUCUGGAGGAACAUCGGAGGCGAAGGCGACCAACUGGCAGUACAUUGACGCUGAGGUGCGAAAGCGUGGGGAGCAAACAGG